GAAGAAGACAUAUGCUAUUUCUACAAAAAAUCUGUCAAGGAACCAACAUGUUGAACCUAAAAGAAAAUCCAAUGUUGAUAAUGGAUGCUUC
Small nucleolar RNA from Cryptomeria japonica (Japanese cedar), 91 nucleotides. RefSeq annotates it as small nucleolar RNA R20. The record is from RefSeq and is a predicted model, not a curated record. The transcript has a single exon. Lineage: Eukaryota; Viridiplantae; Streptophyta; Pinopsida; Cupressales; Cupressaceae.